GGAAAUUCUUCCUUUAAAUACUCACUCACUUCAGAUAAGUGACCUCAGCAUAAUUUAUUGUCCAUCAGUGACUUUAAAGUAGCCACUUCUCUCACAUGCUAUUCCAGCAGGGCAGAAGACUUCUUUUUUGGCCCUUCAUUCUAGCUUUGGAUGUAAUUUACAAAGAUGAACCCUUGAGCAUGUAAAUGGUCAAUUCUACAUGGGUGGGCAAAAUAUUAACUUGAUAAAACAUAUCAAAAUAGCUGCUUAAUUCAGUUAACUAGAGUUCUGAAGCUUGAAGCUCUCUCUCUGUAUUUUAGAACAGCCCUCAUACUUGCUGUAAAUUUUGCAUCAUCAAGUGUAGUCAGGCUGCUUCUUGAGCAAGGCGUUGAUAUCUCUCCUCAAGAUCGCUAUGGACGGAAUGCAGAAGACUAUGCUGUUAUCAAGGGUCAUCAUAUAAUGCACAACCUGAUUUUGAAAUAUAAAGGAGAAAAGGGACUUAAAACACCUUCUCGAGACACUAUACUAGGUAAGACAGCUGAUAGUGAAUUACUUUUAGUGAUCUUACCAUAGAGAAAUUAAGAGUGAGGAUAUUUUGAUAAUGAAAGAGCAGUGAAAAGAACCUUGUGUAAAUUGCUUCC
RNAcentral lists this long non-coding RNA (620 nucleotides) under Sus scrofa (pig). RNAcentral describes it as "lncRNA (ENSSSCG00015019896.1)". Lineage: Eukaryota; Metazoa; Chordata; Mammalia; Artiodactyla; Suidae. The record is from RNAcentral.